AUUAGCCUAAGUUAGCCCAUCUCUAAUCUAAUAAAGUAAUACAGACUUAGUAGACAGAAAGAGAAGUACAUUAAUAAAAACAAAACCCAGAAAUAACAAAGAUAAUAGAAUUAGUAGGCAUGGGCCCUAAAUCAUCUGUUAUAACUAUAUUCUAUAUUUUCAAGAAGCCAGAGGAAAGAUUGGAUAUAUUAAAUAAAGACAUAGAAGAAUACCCAGGUGUGCCGUAAUAAAUUUGCUGGAGAAUACUGAUAAAGACAAGACCUUAAAAGCAGCCAGGGAGGAAAAGAUAUCACAUGCAAAAGCAAGAAUAACAAAAGACUUCUCAGGAGAAACUAUAGAAGUCAAAGGACCAUGGAGCAAAAUCUUUAAAGUCCCGAAUGGAAAGCAAGCAAAAAACUCUCAACCUGGCAUUCUCUACCUGCAGAAAAUAUCAUUAAAAAAUCAAGCAACAUAAAGACUUUACACGACAAACUCAAGCUGAGAGGUCUACUACCAGCAGAAUGCUCUCUGCUCUCAGACUUCUGUCAGUGCAGGCACCCCCACCUCAGGAGCUCCCCCCAGCCCCCCAUCAGAACAUCCCAGGAGAUCUGCCUCUUCCUCACACACCCCAAACCAGGGACCACCGUGCCAAGAAGAGCUUCUUGUUUCCCUGAAAAGAAAACUGUGCCGAGGGAGAAGAGAAGCAAAUAAAUAUUCCUGGAGCAGAAUCAAGAAAUCUGAAAUCCUCUUCUCAGGAGAAAGUUUCAGCAGGGUUGAAAGUAAAGAUGAAGAAACGAUGACAAUGAAAAAAAUUCUUUGUUUCCUUCUCAAAACUGAAGGAGAGGGCGAUUACCUAUAACUUGUAUUCAUAAAAAUAUACACUAUCCUCUUUUUCUACUCAUUCAUUCAUCAACAAAUACUGACUUAACACUGGUCUGCUCCAGGCCCUUCUCCUCCCCAGCUCCUCAGCACGACAGGCUGACCCUCAGUGGUGGGUAGAGCACAGUCAGGCUCUAAAAUCCCCGCCUUCUCCCCAGGUUUAUGUCCAGCGACAGUGGAAAAUCACAGGCAGCUUUGACCUCUGCACAGACUGCCAGAAGGCAUGGAACUGAACUGGGGCUACAUUACAGUUAUUAACAUUUCAAAAAUUUGCUGCACACUUCUAAUGCUGCAUUAAGGAGGGCUGUUGCCUUAAAAUAUGAGGCAUCAAGAAAUUGAAAAGCUGAAGUUUGUUACAAAGACAUCAUUCAAAACAAGAGUCAAACCCUGGGGGGCGCCUGGGUGGCACAGCGGUUAAGCGGCUGACUUCGGCUCAGGGCGUGAUCCCGGCGUUAUGGGAUCGAGCCCCACAUCGGGCUCCUCUGCUAUGA
This is a long non-coding RNA of Ailuropoda melanoleuca (giant panda), 1349 nucleotides long. RefSeq lists it as uncharacterized. NCBI's taxonomy places the organism in Eukaryota, Metazoa, Chordata, Mammalia, Carnivora, Ursidae. The record is from RefSeq and is a predicted model, not a curated record. The transcript has 3 exons.